CAGCAGCCGCGGUAAUACAGAGGGUGCGAGCGUUAAUCGGAUUUACUGGGCGUAAAGCGUGCGUAGGCGGCUUCUUAAGUCGGAUGUGAAAUCCCUGAGCUUAACUUAGGAAUUGCAUUCGAUACUGGGAAGCUAGAGUAUGGGAGAGGAUGGUAGAAUUCCAGGUGUAGCGGUGAAAUGCGUAGAGAUCUUGAGGAAUACCGAUGGCGAAGGCAGCCAUCUGGCCUAAUACUGACGCUGAGGUACGAAAGCAUGGGGAGCAAACAGGAUUAGAUACCCGUGUAGUCCCUGUCUCUUAUAC
Molecule: ribosomal RNA, 301 nt
Filed under: uncultured bacterium
Lineage: Bacteria
Description: partial 16S ribosomal RNA
Rfam family: Bacterial small subunit ribosomal RNA
Source: RNAcentral